AAGCUAAGAAAUCUCAAAAGAGAGCUUCUAACUCACUUUUAAGCGGCCCCCCCCGUUUUUAGCUUU
This 66-nucleotide transfer RNA is filed under the name Anthonomus eugenii (pepper weevil). RNAcentral describes it as "tRNA-Ser". Lineage: Eukaryota; Metazoa; Arthropoda; Insecta; Coleoptera; Curculionidae. The record is from RNAcentral.